Long non-coding RNA from Calidris pugnax (ruff), 1221 nucleotides. RefSeq lists it as uncharacterized. The transcript is spliced from 4 exons. NCBI's taxonomy places the organism in Eukaryota, Metazoa, Chordata, Aves, Charadriiformes, Scolopacidae. The record is from RefSeq and is a predicted model, not a curated record.
UCCUUGAAUGCUUCCAGCUCUGCAUCUGUAAUUUUCCAUGGAGUCUCUCGCUUUAAUUUCUCAGCAGUUGUUAUAUCUUUGCAGCUUUCAUGGAGGCGAUAUGGUUCAAUCAUCUCUUCAAAGAAUUUCCAGCUGAAACGGGAGUUACAAAGGAGGCCUUGCUGUAGGUCAAAAUCUCCAAUGCACUCUGGAAACACUGGUGAAUCUAAUACUGUUUCUGCAAAGUUAUCGGUGUGUGUAGAAAUGGGACACAGAAGGAUUAAAAGACUAACCCGAGACUGCACUUGAACUCAGAGGAAAAGUUUUGAGUGGAGGAGAGGAGCCCUUUGCCUAUGAAACAGCUAUGGACCUCUUAAGAGGGAAGUAAAAGAUGGGAUGGAAGAUACCAUAGCAAGGUACUUAGAAAAUGAUUGCAAUUGAGUGACAGUGUUAUUCUUUGUGGUGUGUUUUGGGUUUUUUUAAUGCUCAGCAUAAAAGAAGCAAGCUCCUGAUAAAGUCCGACUGCUGAAGAAUGGAUUUUGGAUGAGCAGUAUAUACAGGUGCCAGAACUGCCUCUGAAGGUCUGACGUGUUUUGACAAAUCCCAUUUGAUGUCAAAGCCUCCUACUUCCUCUCAACAAAAUUUGGUGACCUGAGUGCCUAGAUCCAGGAGCCAGUUGCAGUCCUGAGCAGCCAAGCUUGGGCAGACUCUGGACAGGGAGCAGGUCCUUGAGCAGCUGUAAAGCUUUUUUUACCCAAUGAUAACAGCAGUUUGUACAAGCACGUGAAUCUCUUCUACAGAAGUAUGUUAACUUCAAGGUAAUCCUUACAACUGACAAAACAACAGCAGAAUAAAGCUUGCUUUAUGUGAAAGCAAAAGCAUAAAGGAGCAUCCAUGUGGCAGCUAUCUUUCCAAGGCUGGCUAAAUUCUAACUCCUAUCUUUGCAUCCAUCUCACUUGUUUUCCAAUGGAGUUUUGGUUGGACAUGUUGAUUUUAACUCGCUACAGGGGGCUGCUGCCCUUUGAUAAGAUACCCUGUACCUCUUUGUUACUGACUUCCAUCGCAAGUUGGACUGCUUCCACCAGAUGUGAAAUGGCUCUGCCUCUGGUGUGUAAAGUGCUGGAAGGAAAGGUCCCAUAUACAGUGAUGAUGGAAGUAAGUGUGUAUUAGUACCUUUCAUUUGCUUGAAGGUGAAUGAUGAUUAUGAAAUCUAGACUUUUUUAAAAAAGCUAAGUCAAAUCA